UACGAAGGGUGCAAACGUUGCUCGGAAUUAUUGGGCGUAAAGCGCACGUAGGCGGUUUAGCAAGUUGGAUGUGAAAUCCCCGGGCUCAACCUGGGAACUGCAUCCAAAACUGGCGAGCUAGAGUAUGGUAGAGGGUGGUGGAAUUUCCUGUGUAGCGGUGAAAUGCGUAGAUAUAGGAAGGAACACCAGUGGCGAAGGCGACCACCUGGACUGAUACUGACACUGAGGUGCGAAAGCGUGGGGAGCAAACAGG
RNAcentral lists this ribosomal RNA (253 nucleotides) under uncultured bacterium. RNAcentral's name for it is "partial 16S ribosomal RNA". It matches the Rfam family "Bacterial small subunit ribosomal RNA", at positions 524 to 776 of the family's 1533-position model. The record is from RNAcentral.